AUACGGAAGGUCCGGGCGUUAUCCGGAUUUAUUGGGUUUAAAGGGAGCGCAGGCGGAGAUGCAAGCGUGACGUCAAAUUUCGGGGCUCAACCCCGUCUCGCGUCGCGAACUGCGUCCCUUGGUUGCGGGAAGGGGAGGCGGAACUCGUGGUGUAGCGGUGAAAUGCAUAGAUAUCACGAAGAACUCCGAUCGCGAAGGCAGCCUUCCGGCCCGUCAACGACGCUCAUGCUCGAAGGUGCGGGUAUCAAACAGGAUUAGAUACCCUGGUAGUCCGCACAGUAAACGAUGGACACCCGCGGUUUGGCCUACAUGGCUGAGCCGCCAAGCGAAAGCGUUAAGUGUCCCACCUGGGGAGUACGCCGGCAACGGUGAAACUCAAAUGAAUUGACGGGG
This 393-nucleotide ribosomal RNA is filed under the name uncultured bacterium. RNAcentral's name for it is "partial 16S ribosomal RNA". It matches the Rfam family "Bacterial small subunit ribosomal RNA", at positions 523 to 918 of the family's 1533-position model. The record is from RNAcentral.